Rhododendron vialii is the source of this 616-nucleotide long non-coding RNA. RefSeq lists it as uncharacterized. NCBI's taxonomy places the organism in Eukaryota, Viridiplantae, Streptophyta, Magnoliopsida, Ericales, Ericaceae. The record is from RefSeq and is a predicted model, not a curated record. The transcript is spliced from 3 exons.
GUAAUAAUUUUUCUUUCUUCUUGUCCUCGUUUUUAUCACUUCCAGGCUUCCGGCGUUUGAGUGAGAGAGAGAGAGAGAGAGAGAGAGAGAGACAGAACGGGAGAAGAAGACGAAGAGGCAGAGAAGAAGAAGAAAAGCUACGACACUCCAUCUCUCCGAUCCCCGCUGAACGUCACAGUUUGAUAGAGCGUGUAGAUUAUCGGGUAUGGCGUUUAUGAGGGGAGAGCCGCUGGUGGCGAAGCUUGCAGUGAUUGCAAAGUACGGGGUGCUUCCUGGAGCCAUGAUCGCUGCGCUGAUCUACUCUCCUCCGGACUAUUCCAAGAAACACGAUCACGCUUCCUCGUCCAAGUAGGUAUGGCUUCUUUUGACUGCUACAAGGUAUAUGAUAUCUUUGGAGCUUUGUUGGGAUUUGAUGGAUGGUUUUGGUAUGCAAUAACUGUGAUGGCUGUAUUCCAUAUGUAGGCAUAUGGUGAUUUGAAUUUGUUCUGUUCCUUUGUAGAAUUUUGAACAGCUCUUUGUGAUGUUUACCAUCAAUUUGGAUUUGAGUUUGACGAAUGUAAGUUCCGCUUAAUCCCAUCGUGGACCGUAUGAAGCUUAGUAUGUGAAUGUUCACUAA